This 255-nucleotide ribosomal RNA is filed under the name uncultured bacterium. RNAcentral describes it as "partial 16S ribosomal RNA". It matches the Rfam family "Bacterial small subunit ribosomal RNA", at positions 524 to 776 of the family's 1533-position model. The record is from RNAcentral.
UACGUAGGGUGCGAGCGUUAAUCGGAAUACUGGGCGUAAAGCGUGCGCAGGCGGUGAUGUAAGACAGAUGUGAAAUCCCCGGGCUCAACCUGGGAACUGCAUCUGUGACUGCAUAGCUAGAGUACGGUAGAGGGGGGAUGGAAUUCCGCGUGUAGCAGUGAAAUGCGUAGAGAUGUGGAGGAACACCGAUGGCGAAGGCAGCCCCCCUGGGCCUGCACUGACGCUCAUGCACGAAAGCGUGGGGGAGCAAACAGG